Fundulus heteroclitus (mummichog) is the source of this 101-nucleotide long non-coding RNA. RefSeq lists it as uncharacterized. The record is from RefSeq and is a predicted model, not a curated record. The transcript is spliced from 3 exons. NCBI's taxonomy places the organism in Eukaryota, Metazoa, Chordata, Actinopteri, Cyprinodontiformes, Fundulidae.
UAGAUCGUUCACUCUUAUUAAACACAUCUGUGUGACGACGGUUCAACCGCUGCAGUUCCUCAACGAUUAAAUGAACAAAAACAAAGUUCAGGCUCUAUUUU